UUUUUUUUUUCCCCGGAACUAGCAUAUCAAUAAGGCSRGRARARARACUAACAAGGAUUCGCCCUAGUAACUGCGAGUGAAGCGGGAUAAGCUCAAAUUUAAAAUCUGGUAGCUUCGCUGCCCGAGUUGUAAUCUGGAGAAGUGCUUUCCGUGCUGGACCGUGUACAAGUCUCUUGGAACAGAGCGUCAUAGAGGGUGAGAAUCCCGUCUUUGACACGGACUACCAGUGCUUUGUGAUGCGCUCUCAAAGAGUCGAGUUGUUUGGGAAUGCAGCUCAAAAUGGGUGGUAAAUUCCAUCUAAAGCUAAAUAUUGGCGAGAGACCGAUAGCGAACAAGUACCGUGAGGGAAAGAUGAAAAGAACUUUGGAAAGAGAGUUAAACAGUACGUGAAAUUGCUGAAAGGGAAACGCUUGAAGUCAGUCGCGUUGGCCGGAACUCAGCCUGGCUUUUGCUUGGUGCAUUUUCUGGUCGACGGGUCAGCAUCAGUUUUGACUGUCGGAUAAUGGUCGGGGGAAUGUGGCAUCUUCGGAUGUGUUAUAGCCCUCGGUCGCAUACGAUGGUUGGGACUGAGGAUCUCAGCACACCUUUAUGGUCGGGGUUCGCCCACGUUUGUGCUUAGGAUGCUGGCAUAAUGGCUUUAAACGACCCGUCUUGAAACACGGACCAAGGAGUCUAACAUGCGUGCGAGUGUUUGGGUGUAAAACCCGAGCGCGUAAUGAAAGUGAAAGUUGAGAUCCCUGUCGYGGGGAGCAUCGACGCCCGGACCAGACCUUCUGUGACGGCUCUGCGGUGGAGCAUGUAUGUUGGGACCCGAAAGAUGGUGAACUAUGCCUGAAUAGGGUGAAGCCAGAGGAAACUCUGGUGGAGGCUCGUAGCGAUUCUGACGUGCAAAUCGAUCGUCAAAUUUGGGUAUAGGGGCGAAAGACUAAUCGAACCAUCUWGUWGSYSGUUCCUGCGAGCUUCUCUCCCGGAGAUAUAGAA
RNAcentral lists this ribosomal RNA (981 nucleotides) under Postia sp. RNAcentral describes it as "partial large subunit ribosomal RNA". Lineage: Eukaryota; Fungi; Basidiomycota; Agaricomycetes; Polyporales; Postiaceae. The record is from RNAcentral.